GCUGGCGUAGCUCAGUUGGUAGAGCAGCUGACUUGUAAUCAGCAGGUCGGGGGUUCAAGUCCCUUCGCCAGCUCCU
RNAcentral lists this transfer RNA (76 nucleotides) under Acidobacteria bacterium 13_1_20CM_2_55_15. Its description in RNAcentral is "tRNA-Thr". It matches the Rfam family "tRNA". From Rfam's summary of the family: Transfer RNA (tRNA) molecules are approximately 80 nucleotides in length. Lineage: Bacteria; Pseudomonadati; Acidobacteriota. The record is from RNAcentral. RNAcentral also lists the same sequence under 3 other names.